RNAcentral lists this long non-coding RNA (552 nucleotides) under Monodelphis domestica (gray short-tailed opossum). Its description in RNAcentral is "lncRNA (ENSMODG00000031763.2)". The record is from RNAcentral. Lineage: Eukaryota; Metazoa; Chordata; Mammalia; Didelphimorphia; Didelphidae.
AUCUAUCCACAAACCUGACUCUAAGUAAAGACUCUACUCUGCAUGGACUCAAGCUACCUAGAGGCAAUUAGUUUAGGUGCUUCUUAACCCAGGAAAUAAGGGCCAAGCUGCUGCUAUAGACUCAAUUUAUUGGCAUUCUCCCAUAAGGCUGGAGCUGUGAAGAAGAGCUGACCAUAAAAGUGUCAUCUGCUGGCCAUGUUUUCAUCAGAGGCUAGAGAAAAGAAUGAAGGUUUUUGUUUCUUCCCCAUCCUCAGCUGAUAGGGAAGGUGAUAGCUGCCAAAUCCUCUCUUCAUGGGCUGAGAUAGAUCUGAGAUGGACAAAGAGACACACACCUCAUCCAUCAGUCAUCCACAUCUCAAGAACCACCAUGUCUUCGGGAAACCCUCUCCCCCUCCCCCUAGCUCCAGAGUUAUAUCCUCACUGUUGUAAAGCCUAUAAAAACCCCAGAAUUUGUGUCCUCUGGGGACAGCUUUUCCAUCCAUGCUGUUCCCCCUAGGAGGCAACUUUCCACCCAUGUUGCCCUCCUGACCAGAUUCAACAUUACCUUCCAAA